This 253-nucleotide ribosomal RNA is filed under the name uncultured bacterium. RNAcentral's name for it is "partial 16S ribosomal RNA". It matches the Rfam family "Bacterial small subunit ribosomal RNA", at positions 524 to 776 of the family's 1533-position model. The record is from RNAcentral.
UACGUAGGGACCAAGCGUUGUUCGGAUUUACUGGGCGUAAAGGGCGCGUAGGCGGCAAUUCAAGUCAUCUGUGAAAUCUCCGGGCUUAACCCGGAAAGGUCAGAUGAUACUGCUUUGCUAGAGUGCGGAAGGGGCAAUCGGAAUUCUUGGUGUAGCGGUGAAAUGCGUAGAUAUGCGGAGGAACACCGAUGGCGAAGGCAAUCCCCUGGGCCUGCACUGACGCUCAUGCACGAAAGCGUGGGGAGCAAACAGG